UACGUAGGAGACGAGCGUUGUCCGGAGUUACUGGGCGUAAAGGGUGCGCAGGUGGCGGCGCGCGUGGGGGGUGAAAUCGCCCGGCUUAACUGGGCGGGGGCCUUCCAGACGGCGUGGCUUGAGCAGCGGAGGGGGACGUGGAAUUCCGGGUGGAGCGGUGAAAUGCGUAGAGAUCCGGAGGAACACCGACGGCGCAGGCAGCUCGCUGGGACGUUACUGACGCUGAGACGCGAAAGCGUGGGGAGCAAACAGG
Molecule: ribosomal RNA, 253 nt
Filed under: uncultured bacterium
Lineage: Bacteria
Description: partial 16S ribosomal RNA
Rfam family: Bacterial small subunit ribosomal RNA
Source: RNAcentral